Onychostoma macrolepis is the source of this 553-nucleotide long non-coding RNA. RefSeq lists it as uncharacterized. The transcript is spliced from 5 exons. The record is from RefSeq and is a predicted model, not a curated record. Lineage: Eukaryota; Metazoa; Chordata; Actinopteri; Cypriniformes; Cyprinidae.
GGACUGCAAGAGAGGGGCGUAACUGGAAGGAGGCGUAACUUGAAGAAAGGGGCGUAACUUGAAGUUGUCCAAAUCACACAGAACCACGCGAGAUGUCAAAACGAGAUGUUAUUGGCAAGAUGGCCGCUUGUAUAUUGACAAGGGACAGAUGAGACACACGAGUGUAUAUCCGGUGCAGAGUGACUGAUGAAGGAAUGCUGCCAUCAAAGACUCUCAAUCUUUUGUGGUGGAGCAGGACCUGCAAGACAAGGUGACAGCGACAUUUGUGGAAAAAAGGGAAAACCUGAAACAAAAGGAUAAAGGACCUACAAUCCCCUGGAUCAACCUGGAGAAAAGAGCCUUGCUGAAGGACACGCCAGUGACGAACCAGCAACCUUCUGCUGACCAGUUCAGUGGUUUAGCCCACUACAGAAGUAGUGGUGCUCAUGGAGAGCAGCACACGAAUGUUUGAAGCAGACACAGAUUAUCCCGCACAUGUUCUCCUGCUCUUGCCUCAAGGUUGUGUGGUUCAGGGGUGUCAUCAUGGUCUUCCUCAUCCUCUGGGUCAACGAUG